GUAUUAGUAAUAUAAUGUAAUCGAUAUAGAUUUAAUGUUUAUCUACUAUAAAUUGUAGUAUAAGCAAGUAUAUAAAGAAACUAUUAGGAAUACCUUGCUAUAUAUUAAAGAGAGUAAUAUUUUAAAUUGUGUAAAAAUACUUAACACAUGAACUCUUAGAUAAAUUCAGUAAUAAACGAAGUGAAUUGAAACAUCUUAGUAGCUUUAGGAAAAGAAAUCAAACGAGAUUCUACAAUUAGUGUGAAUUAAAGUAGAAGAGCCUAGAGUAUUAAAAGGAGAUAAGGGAUAACUAAAUCUCUGUUAAUACUUUAAAUAAGUAGAACGGGCUAUAAACCUGUUUGAAUGUUAAGGGGAACCUUCCUCUAAGGCUAAAUAUAAUAUAUAAGCGACAGCGUAUAGUUCUGUGAAGGAAAGGUUUGAAUUAGUAGUUUUAUAAGCAGCUCAAGCAAAGUUUAAAUACAUAGUGAGAGCGUACCUUUUGCAUAAUGGGUCAGUAAGUUAAUGUUAGAUGCGAGCAGCAAUGCCUAGAUAAACCAAUUAUGAAAUAAUGAAUUAGUAUCUAAAAUUAGACCCGAAGCCUGGUGAUCUUACCAUAGUCAGGGUUAUAAAAGCCCGAACGGGUUAUCGUUGUAAAGAUAUCCGAUGAACUGUGGUAAGUUAGUGAAAGACAAAACUGACCAGGAUAGCUGGUUUUCUGCGAAACCUAUAGAAGUAGGUAAUUUAAGUUACAUCAUAGCAGGUACAGAACUGUGAUCUCAGGCAACUUUAAUAGAUAAUAUAUUUAUUUGUGUUAUUUAUUAUUUUUGUAUAUAUCGGGGGAUCGUGAAGAUUUUAUCGGUGAGUAUUCGCACUCGGAAGGGCAAUGAUGAAUAUUAAAUAAUCAGACAUAGUACGCUAAGGUUGUAUGUCUAAAGGGAAACAGCCCAGAACAAGAGUUAAGGUUCCAAAAUUAAUAUUAAGUGAAAUUAAGGAAGUUUCUAUCUAAUACGACUAGGAAAUAGGCUUAGAAGCGGCCAUUUUUUGAAGACCUCGUAACAGAGCACUGGUUCAGUAAAUAGUUUACUAUUUACAUUGAUAGUGGCACCGAAAAUUUAACGGAUCUAAAUAAUAUACCGACACCUUGUCCAUAUUAAAACAUAAUAUUAUAUAAUAUGGGGUAGCGGAACGUUGGGUAAAUUUUAGACUAUUUCUUAAAAAGAUUUAGGAAUAAAUGACCCAAGUGACAAUGCUGACAUGAGUAACGAAAAAGGGGGUUUACCCCCCUCGCCUAAAGCUUAUGGAUUUUUUAAAGUAACGGCCUCUAAGUUUAUAAACCUAAAGGAUUAAACGAUGAGAAAAUCUUGUCUACAAAGUAACAACCUUUUAUAAGAAAAAGAGAUUAAGAUGUUUCGUCUUAUUAUCUUUUUCUUAAGUGAAUAAGGUUCUGGAAAAACAGUAAAAACCUUUAAUAGUAAAUAUCUUAAAAAUAUUAAUUAUAAAGGCGACAUAAUAACCGUACCUAGAGUCUACCACAAGUAAGCAAGUAGAGUAUACGAAGGCGUUUGAGUGAACAAUCAUUAAGGAACUCGGCAAACUAACUACCGUAACUUAGGGAUAAGGAGAGCCAUUCCUCCUGAUUAAUAUCAGGUAAAGAAUAGGAAGCAUGGAAUAGUGUUGUACGACUGUUUAAUUAAAACAAAGCACUCUGCAGUAAGAUAAUAAAUCAAAGUAUUGAGUGUGAUUUCUGCCCGAUGUCGGCUGGUUAACGGAUUUGUUAAGUUGACUAAUAUAAGCUUGACUUUGAAGGAAACCCCGAUCAAUGGCGGCCUUAUUUUGAGGGUCCUAAGGUAGCGGAAUACCCUGGCCGUUAAAUGCGGUCUUGCAUGAAUGAUUUAACGAUACAACAGCUGUCUCAAUGAUUGGCUCAGUGAAAUUGGAAUAACUGUGCAGAUACAGUUUACCUCUAGUUAGACGAGAAGACCCUAUGCAGCUUUACUGUUGCUAGUUAUUGGAUAUGAUUGAAUUAAUUUUAGUAGUAUAAGGUAAUUGGUUAGAUAUAAUUGAAAUACCUUUAUUUUGUUUGUCAUAUUGAUAGAUUUAAUCUAUUUUCUUAUUUAAAGAUAGGAAAUUACCCCUACUAUGUUAGGGGAACAAUGGCUAGGAGGCAGUUUAUGCGGGGCACAGAUCCCAUAAAAAGUACCUGGGUGUAUCCAAAGUUAAUUUUGUAAAAUUGACAUGACUUACUUCUAAAUAUAUUAUUUGGAAAUAAGUUUUCAUGACUAACAAUACAUUAUAUAUAUAAUGUAUUUAUUUUUAGUUUGUUAUUUGGUAUAGCUUAUGCUAUAACUAAUCCAGCUAUUUAUCUAUUAAGUUAGAAAUAUUUUUUUAUCCAAGUAAGAUUUUAUCUAUAUGGAAAAUAGAUGUAAUUAAAACAUUGAAGUAGAUAUCUUUCCAAUGUUUUUAAUUUUUUAUUAGGUGUAUUUGGUGAAACCAAACUACAAAUUGCUAAUAAGAUAAUUAUGUUUAUUACUUGUCAAGUUUAAUGGCUUAAUCUUGCUUUACUGUUUGACUUACACGUCUAUCAGUCGCGUAAGCGGGGCAUAUGAUCACAAGAUGCAGAAAGGAAAGGUCUUGGAUUUAUGAAAAAGCUACGCUAGGGAUGUUAGUCCUCCAAUGUUUAAGUCUACUAAUAUUUAAUAUUGGUUAAUAUGACUUAAACUCAUUGGCAAUUUAUUGGGUUAAUUUCAAGAAUAACUUUGUCUGAGGACUUAGUAUACUUGAAGCGAACUUUACUUUAGCAUAAUUACCUUAAUAAGGUAUUAAAAGUAAAACCGUUCAACGACUAGAAAGUGAGUUAU
RNAcentral lists this ribosomal RNA (2837 nucleotides) under Pseudogymnoascus sp. BL308. Its description in RNAcentral is "bacterial LSU rRNA". It matches the Rfam family "Bacterial large subunit ribosomal RNA". Lineage: Eukaryota; Fungi; Ascomycota; Leotiomycetes; Thelebolales; Thelebolaceae. The record is from RNAcentral.